CAGUCGCCGCGGUAAAACGAAGGGUGCAAGCGUUACUCGGAAUUACUGGGCGUAAAGCGUGUGUAGGUGGUUGUUUAAGUCUGUCGUGAAAGCCCUGGGCUCAACCUGGGAAUUGCGAUGGAUACUGGGCGACUAGAGUGCGGUAGAGGAUAGUGGAAUUUCCGGUGUAGCAGUGAAAUGCGUAGAGAUCGGAAGGAACAUCUGUGGCGAAGGCGACUAUCUGGGCCAACACUGACACUGAGACACGAAAGCGUGGGGAGCAAACAGGAUUAGAUACCCCUGUAGUCCCUGUCUCUUAUAC
Molecule: ribosomal RNA, 301 nt
Filed under: uncultured bacterium
Lineage: Bacteria
Description: partial 16S ribosomal RNA
Rfam family: Bacterial small subunit ribosomal RNA
Source: RNAcentral